AGGAAGAAGAAGAUGACGAGGGAGAAGGAGGGGAUGUUGAUGGUGAAGAUGAUGAAGGUGAGGAUGAUAAGAAUGAUGAUGAUGCUGUACCUUGCUUUGACCAUCUGUGAUGCUGACAAGUACAUCGAUCGAGUCUUGAUUCUGAGACGAAUUGGCAGAAAAAGACAUUUGAAUCUUUAAAACAGAGGCAUGAUGAAUGAACCUUUUCACCACAGCAGUUUUUAUUAUAUUAAAAAACAAAUUAAAUAUAAGAAAUCCUCAUGUGUUUUGGCAUGUUUUACCUCUCUGUCCAACUUUUCCACCAAAGUUAUGUUUCCAGAUUUGGGGUCGACCCUGAAGUACUCUCUGGAGCCAGGAUCAAAGGAUAGGCCGUACCUCACCUCCUGACCUUCAGGAUGGAUUCUGUUCGGUAAACACUGAUGUACGGAGCAGAGGGACGGCUGCAGCACGGACACGUCAACAGUUGGCUGCAGCAGAUCAGCGUCUCAGUCUGGAUCAUUGAACACUGAGAUGGCCUUCCAAUGAAAUGAUGGAUGGAUGCAGUGACCCUCAGAUCACCAUGGUGCAGAGGUUUGAAAACUAAACUAAACUUUACAUAAGCAAAAACAAAAAAAAAAAAUCUGCUAAAG
Cynoglossus semilaevis (tongue sole) is the source of this 629-nucleotide long non-coding RNA. RefSeq lists it as uncharacterized. The transcript is spliced from 3 exons. Lineage: Eukaryota; Metazoa; Chordata; Actinopteri; Pleuronectiformes; Cynoglossidae. The record is from RefSeq and is a predicted model, not a curated record.